UACAGAGGUGGCAAGCGUUGUUCGGAAUUACUGGGCGUAAAGGGCGCGUAGGCGGCCUUCUAAGUCAGACGUGAAAUCCCCCGGCUUAACCUGGGAACUGCGUCUGAUACUGGGAGGCUUGAGUAUGGGAGAGGGAUGUAGAAUUCCAGGUGUAGCGGUGAAAUGCGCAGAUAUCAGGGGGAACACCGAUGGCGAAGGCAGCACUCUGGGACGGUACUGACGCUGAGACGCGAAAGCGUGGGGAGCAAACAGG
Molecule: ribosomal RNA, 253 nt
Filed under: uncultured bacterium
Lineage: Bacteria
Description: partial 16S ribosomal RNA
Rfam family: Bacterial small subunit ribosomal RNA
Source: RNAcentral